Molecule: non-coding RNA, 219 nt
Organism: Pelobates cultripes (western spadefoot toad)
Lineage: Eukaryota; Metazoa; Chordata; Amphibia; Anura; Pelobatidae
Source: the annotation of a GenBank genome assembly
CCACGGGCUUGCUUCUUGAGGGGCCAUUUCUUAACCUCAUUGCAGGUCUUGCAUACUUCUUGAGCUUGGACAAUCAUCUGGAGAGUUAUUGGUAGUCCUCGGGCUCGCGCCCACUCUAGCGUAGCUGCUUUUCCUCUAUGACCCGCGGUCUCAUGGGCCCAGUCUGCCAUCCUAAGUAAUACUGGAUCAACAGGUUCUGGUGUUAUUUUUGCUUCUCGU